CCCUUAGAUGUUCUGGGCCGCACGCGCGCUACACUGAUGCAUUCAACGAGUCUAAAACCUGGUCUGAGUGGGCUGGGUAAUCUUUUGAAAGUGCAUCGUGAUUGGGAUAGAUGAUUGCAAUUCUUCAUCUUCAACGAGGAAUGCCUAGUAAACGCAAGUCAUCAGCUUGCAUUGAUUACGUCCCUGCCCUUUGUACACACCGCCCGUCGCUCCUACCGAUUGAACGAUCCGAUGAAAACUGUGGAUUGAGAGUCUGAGUGGGUUCGCCUACCUCAACUUUCGAGAAGCGGUUUAAAUCUUAUCGUUUAGAGGAAGGAGAAGUCGUAACA
Molecule: ribosomal RNA, 329 nt
Filed under: uncultured eukaryote
Lineage: Eukaryota
Description: partial 18S ribosomal RNA
Rfam family: Eukaryotic small subunit ribosomal RNA
Source: RNAcentral